RNAcentral lists this small RNA (142 nucleotides) under Prymnesium polylepis. RNAcentral describes it as "partial Betaproteobacteria transfer-messenger RNA". Lineage: Eukaryota; Haptophyta; Prymnesiales; Prymnesiaceae. The record is from RNAcentral.
CGGCACCGGCCUCUUCCAGACCAUCUGCGCCUUCAAGAUCCGCGAGGCGUUCGAGGCCCUCACGGCCUAAGCGCGAGUUCGCGCAUUCUCGGGCGCGAGCGAGGCUGGGUCGAGCUCGCUCCCCGCGUCUCCCCCCCGGGGC